AGACUAUAUGAACACUGGUUUGUUGCAUUUGAAUAUCACCAUUGCUGCAACAUGUAGAGUUCAACGAAACUCAAUUGAAAAACAUAUCAACCAAGAAUCAUAGACGAUAGAGAGUGGGACAACAUCAACCAAGAAUUUGGACAAAAGUUUAAUUUGGAAGAAGAAUUAGAGGAAAUUUUCAUAGAAUAAAAAAGGGAGGUUGGUGGUAGAAGAUGAAAGAGAACGACAGAGAAGAGAGAGAAAUUGAAUUAAUUAAUUAAAUUAAAUAAAUGUGAGUGGGUCCGGUAGAGCAUGCCAGAUCAUUCGUGAUUGAUUCGUGAAGG
This 323-nucleotide long non-coding RNA is filed under the name Trifolium pratense (red clover). RNAcentral's name for it is "long non-coding RNA (TPRA_LNC002805)". The record is from RNAcentral. Lineage: Eukaryota; Viridiplantae; Streptophyta; Magnoliopsida; Fabales; Fabaceae.